This 343-nucleotide RNase P RNA is filed under the name Actinomycetota bacterium. Its description in RNAcentral is "RNase P RNA component class A". It matches the Rfam family "Bacterial RNase P class A". Rfam says of the family: Ribonuclease P (RNase P) is a ubiquitous endoribonuclease, found in archaea, bacteria and eukarya as well as chloroplasts and mitochondria. The record is from RNAcentral. Lineage: Bacteria; Bacillati; Actinomycetota.
UGAGUUGGCUGAGUGACCGCGAAUCAGAUUUCUGAUUCGAGGAAGGUCGGGACUCCAUAGGGCAGAGUGCUGAAAUACAAUCAGGCGCCGUGAGGCGACGGAAAGUGCAACAGAAAAUAAACCGCCGAUGGGUUGCUUGUCGACCACAGGCAAAGGUGAAAGGUGCGGUAAGAGCGCACCAGCAUUUGAGGUGACUCAAAUGGCUUGUAAACCCCACUCGGAGCAAGGCCAUGCAGAGAUCAGGCGGCCCGUCUGAUGAUCUCGGGUAGGCCGCUUAGAUGGAUGGUCACUCAUGCGGCUUCUAGCUGCUGGACAGAAUCCCGCCUACAGGCCGACUCACCGC